Molecule: long non-coding RNA, 1144 nt
Organism: Brassica napus (rape)
Lineage: Eukaryota; Viridiplantae; Streptophyta; Magnoliopsida; Brassicales; Brassicaceae
Exons: 3
Source: RefSeq, a predicted model, not a curated record
ACGAAUAAGAAGCGAAACUAAUAAAAAUAUUAUACAUAACAAAAAAACAAAAAAAAAACCCUCUCUCUUCCUAAACGCUCUCUCCUCUCUCCCCCGAAGAAGAAAACUCAGCCGAUGGUUUCUGCUCGGCCGGCGUCCGUUGGCUCUCGAGCCACGGCGUUGAGCCUGUCCUUGUGUUCUGUUUCUUUGUUAGGUCCUCGGUCUCCUUGUUGUAUGAUGAAGCAACGGUCCACCGUUUGAGCUCCGGUUCAAUGUUGGUGUUUGAGCCCUAGAUCUGAAGAGGUGAUGAUGCAGCAGUGACUCUCUCGACCCUACCAGUGGCUUCCUAUCCUGAUGGCUCAGAUCUAUCCGCCUCCGUUUAACCGCACGGUCAGGAAUUAGAUUAUCAAUCGCCAUGGCUGAUAUAUAUUUCAAGUCGGAACACCCACUGGAGAGGAGACAGAUUGAAGCUUCUCGCACCAGAGACAAGUAUCCAGAUAGAGUUCCUAUAAAUACCUUUUUUGAUACUUUGCUUUGAUGUGUAUAUUCUUCUUCUAUGUAGCUUUCUUCUUUAACAGAUGAAGUGUAUGUUGCAGGUGAUUGUAGAGAAAGCUGAGAGAAGUUUGAUGUUCCCAAUAUCGACAAGAAAAAUUCAGUAGUGUACUUGAGAUUGAUCUGUGACUUUUUUGGGUUUGUGUGAUUCAGGUACCUUGUACCGGAUGAUCUGACAGUGGGGCAAUUUGUGUAUGUUGUCCGUAAAAGAAUCAAGCUGAGUGCAGAAAAGGCAAUCUUUGUCUUUGUCAAGAACACAUUGCCUCCAACUGGUGAUUAGAAACUGGUUUUUGUUAGUUUUGUUCGCAUAAAACACUGGUGUUAAUUUGCGCAAACAAUUCUCUGCAAACUCGAAGCAACAAUGAAUGCUUGUAUAUGUAUUUAUGCAGCUGCAAUGAUGAGAACAAAGACGAAGAUGGGUUUCUCUACAUGACUUAUAGUGGAGAGAACACUUUUGGUUUGGUUUAAAAUCUGUCUACUUUUGGUGUUUUCAUAUAUAUAUAUAUAUGCUAUGCUCUUUGAAUAUGGAGAAAUUAUCUAUGUUGCUUUCGACUGAUUAUAUGUAAAUGUUGCUUUGGGCUGAUUAUAUGUAAAUGUUGCUUUUGAUGUUGUU